GGCUAGGCUUAUAAAAUUUAUACUUUAUUUUUGAUAAAUUAUAAUUAGUAAAGUUUGUAAAAUUUAACAAUUUUAGGUAAAAUUUUGAUUGUUAUAUUAAAUUUAAUUAUAAUUUAAAAUUUUAAAUAUUGAAUUAGAUUAGUACCUAAGUAAUUAAAUUUUAAAAGUGCAGGA
RNAcentral lists this ribosomal RNA (174 nucleotides) under Cooperia pectinata. RNAcentral describes it as "partial small subunit ribosomal RNA". Lineage: Eukaryota; Metazoa; Nematoda; Chromadorea; Rhabditida; Trichostrongylidae. The record is from RNAcentral.